This 607-nucleotide long non-coding RNA is filed under the name Equus asinus (donkey). Its description in RNAcentral is "lncRNA (ENSEASG00005026554.1)". Lineage: Eukaryota; Metazoa; Chordata; Mammalia; Perissodactyla; Equidae. The record is from RNAcentral.
CCUUACCCGCUUGUUCCCUGGCUUCGAACGGAACGGAUGACUUUGCCUCAGGCAUGCUAACCUUCUCCUCCAGAAGCCCACAAUUCGUAUGGGGUGAGAAUUCAUAUGGAAUGACAGAGUUUUCUUGAGUAAUUGAGCAGAGCUUCCUCUGACUUUCCUACAGAAGGACAGGAGGAAGAGAACGGAGCUAAAGCAAUAUCUGAAACAAUUAUGGCUGAGAAAUUUCCAAAAGUGAUAGAAGACUUCAAGCCACAGAUCCAAGAAAUGCUAUGGAUUCCCAUGAAGACAAAUACAAAACAUUUAGAGCCCACCAAACAUGGAAACAGAGGAAAGGGAACCUCUGCCACUCCAGUGCAGCCUGACAUUCCUGAGAUGACUCAAGACACAACUAAACAAAUGGUGGUUGGAGAAAAAGAUGUAUAUGUGGGAUUGAAAGAAGAUAGGCAAGAACGAGAACGAGAACAGUCUUACAUGCCAAUCACGGGACGUGGACUUCCUCCUGACACAGUGGGACGAAAACAGUAUAGAGUGUGUUAGUACUCACUCACUUACUUAGUUCAGCCUAAUUCAGGUUCAUACAAAUUCCCCCUUUCCCUGUCUUUAGUGG